UCUUUUUUUUUCUCCUUUUUCUUUUUCUCUUUUUUUUCUCUUUUCCCACAAUUCUGAUACAAUUGUUCAUCAAACACUGGCGUUUCCAGCAGCAAUUCUUGGGGUUUUUUUCCUUUUUUUUUGUUUUUUUUUUCCUUUUUUAAAGUGAAUAAUAAUACACGGUAGUGAUUUCACAGUAAAACAGACCUGCGGGAACGCCGGAUAUACGUGACAAAAGACACCCCCAGACCAGCCCCUUCCCCCCCCACCCCCUGAAAGGAGACCUUGGAAGUGGGGAGGGGAAAAUAAAAAGUUCAUUCCAAAAAAUUAUUUCGAAAGAGAUUUCAUAUAAAGCCUUUAAAACGCGUCAGAAUUCCUCCCUCCUCUCCAGAUCCCUGUCCCUGGGGCUGCACACGUGAGAGAAAGAGAGAGAAUGGAGAGUUUAUAACAAUCUCUGUAGGAGAAACAAAACCAUCCAGAAAGAAAAUAGCCAAGAAUAUGGAAGGGAUAAAAUUACAUUUGUACAAAAAUAGAUUUUAACUUUAUUGAUGCUUUAGAUAUUUUUCCUUAUCUUUUCUUUCUUUCAUUCUAAAUGUUCAUGUAUUUUAUUUGUUAUCUAUGCAUCCCAUAGCCAAGGCAUCCGUCGCUAAGUACUGGGAAUCGCUAAAGCCAGUCUUAAACCCACCUGCUGCUCAAAACACAAACACAAACAAGGAAACAAAACAAAAAGGCAUCUUAAAAUAGAUGCAGUUCCUUUGCCACGAGGAAUAAAGAUCCAGAUUGGCAUCAGCCAAUUCGGAGAGGGCUGCGGAUACGAUGUACUCUCACUUACAUGAAGCAAAAAAACCCCCAAACAAACAAAAAAGCAAGGAAAAAAAAAACAGGAAAAUGGACUUAAAACAAGAAACCACGAGAAGUCUGUAAUUGCUACAGUUAUAAUAUAUGUAUAUGUGAGUGAGGCUAUUUAUACAGUGUAUAUAUCUACAGUACAUACAUGUAUACACACGCACAUACGUGUCAGCUGAAGCCAGCCCAUGCUCGCCCAGCACUGAUGGGGCCAGCACCAGCUCCUGAGCCGCGGUCCCGUGUCUCGGGCCCAGCGUGGGUGCUGUGCGGGCUGGGGCUCCCUGCACCCACGGGUGCUGGGGGGAUGCUCAGGAGGCCUCAGCACCCGCAGGGGGUGGCCCCGGGACUCGCUGGUUUGGGGUUCGGGCUCGGCUGAGACCGUGCACACACACAAGAAGGCAGCGAGGAGCAUCCAGGGUGCCAGGCGGUGGCUGCGGGGCUGGUCUUUGAGCUAUCUUUUAGAAAAUUAAAGAUUGUCCCACCAACGAGAAGGAAUUACAAAAAUAAUAAUUCAGCAAUAGAUCACCCCAAUCAAACCAGAUUUUUGCAGGAGAUCUGGUUAAAUCACAGUCCUACCUCCCUAGUGAAUAAUGUGCCUCUUUUAACCACAUAUCACCUCCUCAAGCAAGCCUGGAGAAUAUCGAUCAUUAAUAAGAUGAGGACAAACAAAAA
Molecule: long non-coding RNA, 1497 nt
Filed under: Strigops habroptila (Kakapo)
Lineage: Eukaryota; Metazoa; Chordata; Aves; Psittaciformes; Psittacidae
Description: lncRNA (ENSSHBG00005015552.1)
Source: RNAcentral